This 76-nucleotide transfer RNA is filed under the name Rhodospirillaceae bacterium. Its description in RNAcentral is "tRNA-Thr". It matches the Rfam family "tRNA". From Rfam's summary of the family: Transfer RNA (tRNA) molecules are approximately 80 nucleotides in length. Lineage: Bacteria; Pseudomonadati; Pseudomonadota; Alphaproteobacteria; Rhodospirillales; Rhodospirillaceae. The record is from RNAcentral.
GCCCACUUAGCUCAGUUGGUAGAGCACGACAUUCGUAAUGUCGGGGUCAGGUGUUCGAAUCACCUAGUGGGCACCA